UGUGGGGCAAGUGUUAAAUUACAGCUGUGU
This 30-nucleotide non-coding RNA is filed under the name Rattus norvegicus (Norway rat). The record is from RNAcentral. Lineage: Eukaryota; Metazoa; Chordata; Mammalia; Rodentia; Muridae.